RNAcentral lists this ribosomal RNA (727 nucleotides) under Paenibacillus dendritiformis. RNAcentral describes it as "bacterial SSU rRNA". It matches the Rfam family "Bacterial small subunit ribosomal RNA", at positions 73 to 784 of the family's 1533-position model. The record is from RNAcentral. Lineage: Bacteria; Bacillati; Bacillota; Bacilli; Caryophanales; Paenibacillaceae.
GGAGUGCUUGCACUCCUGAUGCUUAGCGGCGGACGGGUGAGUAAUACGUAGGUAACCUGCCCUUAAGACCGGGAUAACUCACGGAAACGUGGGCUAAUACCGGAUAGGCGAUUUCCUCGCAUGAGGGAAUCGGGAAAGGCGGAGCAAUCUGCCACUUAUGGAUGGACCUACGGCGCAUUAGCUAGUUGGUGGGGUAACGGCUCACCAAGGCGACGAUGCGUAGCCGACCUGAGAGGGUGAUCGGCCACACUGGGACUGAGACACGGCCCAGACUCCUACGGGAGGCAGCAGUAGGGAAUCUUCCGCAAUGGACGCAAGUCUGACGGAGCAACGCCGCGUGAGUGAUGAAGGUUUUCGGAUCGUAAAGCUCUGUUGCCAGGGAAGAACGCUAUGGAGAGUAACUGUUCCAUAGGUGACGGUACCUGAGAAGAAAGCCCCGGCUAACUACGUGCCAGCAGCCGCGGUAAUACGUAGGGGGCAAGCGUUGUCCGGAAUUAUUGGGCGUAAAGCGCGCGCAGGCGGUCAUGUAAGUCUGGUGUUUAAACCCGGGGCUCAACUCCGGGUCGCAUCGGAAACUGUGUGACUUGAGUGCAGAAGAGGAAAGUGGAAUUCCACGUGUAGCGGUGAAAUGCGUAGAGAUGUGGAGGAACACCAGUGGCGAAGGCGACUUUCUGGGCUGUAACUGACGCUGAGGCGCGAAAGCGUGGGGAGCAAACAGGAUUAGAUA